AACACAAACGUCGUCGUAUUGCUCUGAAGA
RNAcentral lists this non-coding RNA (30 nucleotides) under Cricetulus griseus (Chinese hamster). Lineage: Eukaryota; Metazoa; Chordata; Mammalia; Rodentia; Cricetidae. The record is from RNAcentral.